GACAGAGGCCUCGAGCGUUAGGCGGAGUCACUGGGCUUAAAGCGUGUGUAGGCGGACCUCUAAGUACCUUGUGAAAUCCCACGGCUCACCCGUGGAACCGCUGGGUAUACUGGGGGUCUUGGGCCACUCAGGGGCGACUGGGAACAAGCGGUGGAGCGGUGAAAUGCGUAGAUAUCGCUUGGAACGCCGAAGGUGAAAACAGGUCGCUGGGAGUGCGCCGACGCUGAGACACGAAAGCCCAGGGGAGCAAACGGGG
This 256-nucleotide ribosomal RNA is filed under the name uncultured bacterium. Its description in RNAcentral is "partial 16S ribosomal RNA". It matches the Rfam family "Bacterial small subunit ribosomal RNA", at positions 524 to 777 of the family's 1533-position model. The record is from RNAcentral.